This 902-nucleotide ribosomal RNA is filed under the name uncultured bacterium. Its description in RNAcentral is "bacterial SSU rRNA". It matches the Rfam family "Bacterial small subunit ribosomal RNA", at positions 28 to 930 of the family's 1533-position model. The record is from RNAcentral.
GAUGAACGCUAGCGGCAGGCUUAACACAUGCAAGUCGAACGGUAAGGCCCUGCUUGCAGGGUACACGAGUGGCGCACGGGUGCGUAACGCGUAUGCAACCUACCUUUAACAUUGAGAUAGCCCCGAGAAAUUGGGAUUAAUAUCGAAUAAUAUUAUAAUACAUCAUUGUAUAAUAAUUAAAGCUCCGGCGGUUAAAGAUGGGCAUGCGUAACAUUAGCUAGAUGGUAAGGUAACGGCUUACCAUGGCAACGAUGUUUAGGGGUUCUGAGAGGAUUAUCCCCCACACUGGUACUGAGACACGGACCAGACUCCUACGGGAGGCAGCAGUGAGGAAUAUUGGGCAAUGGAGGCAACUCUGACCCAGCCAUGCCGCGUGCAGGAAGACGGCCCUAUGGGUUGUAAACUGCUUUUAUAUACCAAGAAACCCCAUCACGUGUGAUGGCUUGACGGUAGUAUAUGAAUAAGGACCGGCUAACUCCGUGCCAGCAGCCGCGGUAAUACGGAGGGUCCGAGCGUUAUCCGGAUUUAUUGGGUUUAAAGGGUGCGCAGGCGGUACAAUAAGUCAGUGGUGAAAUCCCGAGGCUCAACCUCGGAACUGCCAUUGAUACUGUUGUACUCGAGUAUAGACGAAGUAGGCGGAAUGUAGCAUGUAGCGGUGAAAUGCUUAGAUAUGCUACAGAACACCGAUUGCGAAGGCAGCUUACUAGACUAUUACUGACGCUAAUGCACGAAAGCGUGGGGAGCGAACAGGAUUAGAUACCCUGGUAGUCCACGCCGUAAACUAUGAUCACUCGAUGUUGGCGAUACACAGUCAGUGUCUAAGGGAAACCGAUAAGUGAUCCACCUGGGGAGUACGAUCGCAAGGUUGAAACUCAAAGGAAUUGACGGGGGCCCGCACAAGC